This 290-nucleotide long non-coding RNA is filed under the name Ricinus communis (castor bean). RNAcentral describes it as "long non-coding RNA (RCOM_LNC003758)". Lineage: Eukaryota; Viridiplantae; Streptophyta; Magnoliopsida; Malpighiales; Euphorbiaceae. The record is from RNAcentral.
AAAUUUUAAAAAAAAAAAAAAAAAAAAAAAAAAAAAAAAAAAAAAAACCAAGUAGGACCUCGUAGGAGAAGAAAAUGAUAACUACCCUGUAAAAUUAUUAAGCAAAACACCAGAUGUUCAUUGAACAGGUGGAAGUAGGAAAUCUGUCCCUAAAUUCUAUCAGAGUAAAGCAACCAAAAGCAUCAUAUUCAUUUCUACUGGAUUUGACCAAAAAGUGUACAGAUAUUAUGUUAUAUCCCCCAAAGAUACUCUCUAGUAAAGGCCUUAUCAUAAGACAGCUAUGUGACAAU